This 743-nucleotide ribosomal RNA is filed under the name uncultured bacterium. RNAcentral describes it as "bacterial SSU rRNA". It matches the Rfam family "Bacterial small subunit ribosomal RNA", at positions 33 to 773 of the family's 1533-position model. The record is from RNAcentral.
ACGCUAGCGGCAGGCCUAAUACAUGCAAGUCGAACGAGAUUAAGGGGCUUGCUCCUUAUGAAAGUGGCGCACGGGUGCGUAACGCGUAUGCAACCUACCUUAAUCAGGGGGAUAGCCCGAAGAAAUUCGGAUUAACACCGCAUAAAAACACAGAAUAGCAUUAUUCAAUGUUCAAAUAUUUAUAGGAUUAAGAUGGGCAUGCGUGUCAUUAGCUAGUUGGCGGGGUAACGGCCCACCAAGGCGACGAUGACUAGGGGAUCUGAGAGGAUGACCCCCCACACUGGUACUGAGACACGGACCAGACUCCUACGGGAGGCAGCAGUAAGGAAUAUUGGUCAAUGGAGGCAACUCUGAACCAGCCAUGCCGCGUGCAGGAAGACGGCCCUAUGGGUUGUAAACUGCUUUUAUCUGGGAAUAAACCUUUCUACGUGUAGGAAGCUGAAUGUACCAGAAGAAUAAGGAUCGGCUAACUCCGUGCCAGCAGCCGCGGUAAUACGGAGGAUCCAAGCGUUAUCCGGAUUUAUUGGGUUUAAAGGGUGCGUAGGCGGCCUGUUAAGUCAGAGGUGAAAGACGGUAGCUCAACUAUCGCAGUGCCUUUGAUACUGACGGGCUUGAAUGAACUAGAGGUAGGCGGAAUGAGACAAGUAGCGGUGAAAUGCAUAGAUAUGUCUCAGAACACCGAUUGCGAAGGCAGCUUACUAUGGUUUUAUUGACGCUGAGGCACGAGAGCGUGGGGAUCAAAC